This 307-nucleotide long non-coding RNA is filed under the name Trifolium pratense (red clover). RNAcentral's name for it is "long non-coding RNA (TPRA_LNC004957)". Lineage: Eukaryota; Viridiplantae; Streptophyta; Magnoliopsida; Fabales; Fabaceae. The record is from RNAcentral.
AAGGCAUGUUACAGGUGCUUCUUCAUAUGAUUAUGCAGCCAAGAUAGUGGGGGUAUUGAAUGGAAAUUUUUACUAUUUUACACUAAGAUUGUCCAAUUUUAGUUGUAUUUAUGGUUGAGUAAAUAGUGUCUUAACUUGUAUCUGAGAAGUCAUUGGAGCGGUAACCAUGACUUUAGGUUUUUUAUAGUAGUAGUACAUGUUGCUACUUUUUAGUACCCAUAGAAAGGAUGUACUCCACUAUUCAUUUAUGUAAAACUGCAAUCAUUUGAAUAAAGGAGUUCAUGUAUUUGCCUCACUUUUAUUCCAA